UACGAAGGGGGCUAGCGUUGUUCGGAAUUACUGGGCGUAAAGCGCACGCAGGCGGACUGAUCAGUCAGGGGUGAAAUCCCGGGGCUUAACCCCGGAACUGCCUUUGAUACUGUCAGUCUCGAGUCCGGGAGAGGUGAGUGGAAUUCCUAGUGUAGAGGUGAAAUUCGUAGAUAUUAGGAAGAACACCAGUGGCGAAGGCGGCUCACUGGCCCGGUACUGACGCUCAGGUGCGAAAGCGUGGGGAGCAAACAGGAUUAGAUACCCUCGUAG
RNAcentral lists this ribosomal RNA (270 nucleotides) under uncultured bacterium. Its description in RNAcentral is "partial 16S ribosomal RNA". It matches the Rfam family "Bacterial small subunit ribosomal RNA", at positions 524 to 793 of the family's 1533-position model. The record is from RNAcentral.